UUCGGGCGCCGGCGAGUGGCGAACGGGUGAGUAACACGUGGAGACCUUUCCAUUGGUGGGGGACAACAGCUGGGAACGGCUGCUAAUACCGCAUAAUCCCUACGGGGGAAAGAUUUAUCGCCAUAGGAGGGUUCCGCGUCGGAUUAGCUAGUUGGUGGGGUAACGGCCUACCAAGGCAACGAUCCGUAGCUGGUCUUAGAGGAUGAUCAGCCACACUGGGACUGAGACACGGCCCAGACUCCUACGGGAGGCAGCAGUGGGGAAUAUUGCGCAAUGGAGGAAACUCUGACGCAGCGAUGCCGCGUGGGUGAAGAAGGCCUUAGGGUUGUAAAGCCCUUUCAGUGGGAACGAUGGUGACGGUACCCACAGAAGAAGCCCCGGCUAACUCCGUGCCAGCAGCCGCGGUAAUACGGAGGGGGCGAGCGUUGUUCGGAGUUAUUGGGCGUAAAGCGCGCGUAGGCGGUUUAUUAAG
Molecule: ribosomal RNA, 472 nt
Filed under: uncultured Magnetococcus sp.
Lineage: Bacteria; Pseudomonadati; Pseudomonadota; Magnetococcia; Magnetococcales; Magnetococcaceae
Description: bacterial SSU rRNA
Rfam family: Bacterial small subunit ribosomal RNA
Source: RNAcentral